UGGGUAACCUACCUAUAAGACUGGGAUAACUUCGGGAAACCGGAGCUAAUACCGGAUAAUAUUUCGAACCGCAUGGUUCGAUAGUGAAAGAUGGUUUUGCUAUCACUUAUAGAUGGACCCGCGCCGUAUUAGCUAGUUGGUAAGGUAACGGCUUACCAAGGCGACGAUACGUAGCCGACCUGAGAGGGUGAUCGGCCACACUGGAACUGAGACACGGUCCAGACUCCUACGGGAGGCAGCAGUAGGGAAUCUUCCGCAAUGGGCGAAAGCCUGACGGAGCAACGCCGCGUGAGUGAUGAAGGUCUUCGGAUCGUAAAACUCUGUUAUUAGGGAAGAACAUACGUGUAAGUAACUAUGCACGUCUUGACGGUACCUAAUCAGAAAGCCACGGCUAACUACGUGCCAGCAGCCGCGGUAAUACGUAGGUGGCAAGCGUUAUCCGGAAUUAUUGGGCGUAAAGCGCGCGUAGGCGGUUUUUUAAGUCUGAUGUGAAAGCCCACGGCUCAACCGUGGAGGGUCAUUGGAAACUGGAAAACUUGAGUGCAGAAGAGGAAAGUGGAAUUCCAUGUGUAGCGGUGAAAUGCGCAGAGAUAUGGAGGAACACCAGUGGCGAAGGCGACUUUCUGGUCUGUAACUGACGCUGAUGUGCGAAAGCGUGGGGAUCAAACAGGAUUAGAUACCCUGGUAGUCCACGCCGUAAACGAUGAGUGCUAAGUGUUAGGGGGUUUCCGCCCCUUAGUGCUGCAGCUAACGCAUUAAGCACUCCGCCUGGGGAAGUUACGACCGCAAGGUUGAAACUCAAAGGAAUUGACGGGGACCCGCACAAGCGGUGGAGCAUGUGGUUUAAUUUGAAGCAACGCGAAGAACCUUACCAAAUCUUGACAUCCUUUGACAACUCUAGAGAUAGAGCCUUCCCCUUCGGGGGACAAAGUGACAGGUGGUGCAUGGUUGUCGUCAGCUCGUGUCGUGAGAUGUUGGGUUAAGUCCCGCAACGAGCGCAACCCUUAAGUUUAGUUGCCAUCAUUAAGUUGGGCACUCUAAGUUGACUGCCGGUGACAAACCGGAGGAAGGUGGGGAUGACGUCAAAUCAUCAUGCCCCUUAUGAUUUGGGCUACACACGUGCUACAAUGGACAAUACAAAGGGCAGCGAAACCGCGAGGUCAAGCAAAUCCCAUAAAGUUGUUUUCAGUUCGGAUUGUAGUCUGCAACUCGACUACAUGAAGCUGGAAUCGCUAGUAAUCGUAGAUCAGCAUGCUACGGUGAAUACGUUCCCGGGUCUUGUACACACCGCCCGUCACACC
RNAcentral lists this ribosomal RNA (1301 nucleotides) under Staphylococcus sp. RNAcentral describes it as "bacterial SSU rRNA". It matches the Rfam family "Bacterial small subunit ribosomal RNA", at positions 118 to 1403 of the family's 1533-position model. The record is from RNAcentral. Lineage: Bacteria; Bacillati; Bacillota; Bacilli; Caryophanales; Staphylococcaceae.